AAAGAGACACCAAAAGCAAACAAAACAAAACUAUAACGAAAAAAAAAUAUGCUGGGAUGGGAUGGAGAUGGGUUGCCGUUGCUUGUUGCUGGUGGAUUCUUCUUGGCCGAUUUUUUAUAAUUUCUUUUUUUUUUGCUUUU
Molecule: non-coding RNA, 140 nt
Filed under: Lotharella globosa
Lineage: Eukaryota; Cercozoa; Chlorarachniophyceae
Source: RNAcentral